CCACUUUCACCUUAUGUUUCUGAAGUUGGUCUGAAGGAUGCUCUCAAAACCACUUGGACUGAUGUAGUUCAACAGCUUUUUGCUGGGUGUCCUUAACUGCUGUGUUACCUUUUUAAAAACAUUGGUGUCAGCCCAACUCUUAAUGUAAGAGGUGGUCCUGUCACAAAAUCCACCUUGAGCUGUUCCUGUGCCUGCAGCCCGCGUGGAUGGAUGGGUGUAAGAAUCAAACCCCCCCUGUCUUGUGCCUCCAGACUGUCUCCUGGAAACUGAAUGGGAACAAGUUGGCUGGGGUCCCCUGGGGACAGUUGGACUGUGUGGUUCAUGCUGUGUCAGGAUAAAGAAGGCUAAAUUGUCUGACAUGGACAAUCUGACAACUCUAAAUCCCACCUUUUUUUUUUUUUUUUUUUGACUGAUAGUAAUUUUAGACCAAGAAAUUGAUGUUAUAAAUGAGGUGGGUUUGGGCCCUUUUUUUUUUUUGGUUUGCCCUUCUACUACUGUGUAAUCUUCAUUGGAACUACUGGGUUAAAUACUGUAUGUCACUGCCUUGUAAGCAACGGCUAUGAAAGUAGGUCCAGCAGAUCAUGCUCCAUCUUAUUGGAACUUUGCAAGUAGAGAAAUCAGGUUGUCCUUCCUCUUACAAAAAAGGGAACAGCAUAUGGUAAAGUCAUUAGAGAAUAAACAAAAACGCCAGCAAAACACACACAGGCAAAUGCUUAGUGUAAGGUAGUAAAAGUGUGGACAGUCAGCUCAUAAAGAGGUCAAGGUUACAUGUCUUAAUUAAAAAAAAGUGGCAGAUUCAAGAAGUAAAUUCAAGCUGUGGUGACCAGGGACAUUUAGAAACUGGGGGAAAAGGAAGAUCAAUUGGAUGUUGUCUCUGUGACAUCCUGAAGUAAUUCCUCUUUUUCUUUUAAGGUUCAUGAUAUGCAAAUGCCAGCUUCUGAAUUAUAGCUGCAGUGAUGUACCAAAUGUUUUCUAGCACAUCUUAUUGUGAGCAGAAAUAUCAGUGUUGUCAAAAAAAAA
This 1020-nucleotide long non-coding RNA is filed under the name Strigops habroptila (Kakapo). RNAcentral's name for it is "lncRNA (ENSSHBG00005003388.1)". Lineage: Eukaryota; Metazoa; Chordata; Aves; Psittaciformes; Psittacidae. The record is from RNAcentral.